This 94-nucleotide transfer RNA is filed under the name Mycobacterium bohemicum DSM 44277. RNAcentral's name for it is "tRNA-Gln". Lineage: Bacteria; Bacillati; Actinomycetota; Actinomycetes; Mycobacteriales; Mycobacteriaceae. The record is from RNAcentral.
CGUCGGCUCGAUCACGGUCGGUUGGGUCGCCGAGGAGCUGAGCUUCGGCUGGGGUUUCGGCAUCAGCGGAAUCGUUCUGUUGAUCGCCGCCGCC